Molecule: long non-coding RNA, 657 nt
Filed under: Lactuca sativa (garden lettuce)
Lineage: Eukaryota; Viridiplantae; Streptophyta; Magnoliopsida; Asterales; Asteraceae
Description: long non-coding RNA (LSAT_LNC000338)
Source: RNAcentral
CCCAAACCUUUGCUGUCAUUGCUGUAGAGAAAUAGUGUUGAUAGAACUAGUUUGUAACUCUUGAUCAAGCAGAUAUAGACCUUCCUUCACACUACCCUUGCCCAUCAUCAUCUUGUUGUUCAUCUGUUGUAUAAGGGCAUAAUCAUGAUAAAGAGAAACCAUGACAUUUUUGUCCUCAGUUAGGGAAGUAACCGAAUUGAGAUUCAACUCAACUUGAGGAACAUAAAGAACAUUUUUGAGAAUAAGAUGAUUAUUCAGUUGUAAAUUACCCACUAAAUGCACUUGGAUAAGCAUUUGAUUUGGUAAUUUGACACGAGUAUUAAAAACCUUUUUAGUAUUAAUAAAAAGUUUUUCAUCAUUACAAAUGUGUCUAGUAGCUCCAGAGUCUAUGAUCCAAACAAUAGACUUAUAAUUGCCAGAUGCAGUAUUCAGAAUAUAAUGGUUACCUGCUUUAAAUUCUUGAGUAGUAACUGCAUUGGAAGAAGCUAAUUUCCCUGAAAACAUAGCAAUAAAUUACUUGCACUGCUCAUCACUUAGCCCGGUUACAACAUCAUUAAAACCAAAGAAAGAAGAACCGUUCACUUGAUCAGUAGAAACAGAAUUAGCUCUUGAAUGGUUAUUACCAUUUGUGAACUUGAAACCAGGUGGAAAUCCAUG